This 2215-nucleotide long non-coding RNA is filed under the name Lonchura striata (white-rumped munia). RNAcentral describes it as "domestica (Bengalese finch) lncRNA (ENSLSDG00000016592.1)". The record is from RNAcentral. Lineage: Eukaryota; Metazoa; Chordata; Aves; Passeriformes; Estrildidae.
AGGAGGGAAGAGAUUGAUAAUCAGAGAAAUCCACACCGGUAUUAAUUACAUGCCAUUACCAGGGCUUAUUUGCUAAUCCCCUUUCUAAUCACCCUCCCGGUCAUAUUUCAAGCAGCACUUCAGGACACUGCGCGUCAUGAAUAAAAUAUAUAUCAAAGUUUAUUCCAGAGCACAGGCAGCACGGUGCGGGCAGCGCAGCCAGGGUUACACAACAGACCUGCUGUCACACCAGCGGAGGCGCGGCACAUUCGGACGUCAGUGAAAUCCCCCCCCACCCCAGCCCAAAUCCGGGGUUUUGGCUUUUUAAAAUUUAAAUAAAUAAAUAGCAGAGGGACUUAGGGUUUCCGGGGGAUUCAUGCAGCUUCUGGGGAGCGCCGCUGCGGAAGCCUGGCACGGCGGAGCGGGACGAGGGACGGUCACCCUGGGCACGGAGGAGGAGGAGCGGGACCGCGGGCCGUGCCAGCUGAAGCUCUGCGAUUCCCGGCGGGACCGGCUGAUUCCAUCCGAGCACCGUCCUGAGGCCGGGACAGCGGCGGGGACAGCGGCACCAGGCCCUGCAAGGCUUCCAGUCCGGAGGGGAUCCUUCAUCCCGGAGGGGAUCCUUCAUCCCGGAGGACAUCCUUCAUCCCGGAGGGAUCCUUCAUCCCGGAGGGACAUCCUUCAUCCCGGAGGGGAUCCUUCAUCCCGGAGAGGAUCCUUCAUCCCGGAGGGGAUCCUUCAUCCCGGAGAGGAUCCUUCAUCCCGAGCCCAUCUCCGCCGCCUCGCACCUUCCUGCCAGCCCGCAGCGACCGGCCCUGCCACCAGGUGACAUUGGGUGUCCCCAAGGACGCCGGCUGGAAGCACCGGGAGCCUUCCAUGUCCCCGCCCGGUUUGGUCAGUCCGGAGCAGUCCCGAGCUCCGCUCGCCGCGAGUGUCCGGUGCCAGCGGACCCCGAGCCCGGUCCCUUCCCGAGCCGCUGCCCGGGGCUGCUGCCCGCCGUGCCCCGAGCCCGCUCCGCUCUCCGCCGAGGCUUGCAGGGGGCACGGCGGGGCUGCCCCGUGUGGGUCACCGUCCCGGCGGCGUCCCAAGGGCGGGGGUCCCCUCCGGGGGGAAGGGGCCCUGCCCCGGAACCUGCUGCCUUCAGGGCGGAGCGACCCCAGACCGGGCUGGGGGUGCUGGCAGCAGAUUCCUCCAUGAACACCCCCAAACCUGGCAAGAUCCUCCAGGGAUCCCAGGCUCGGAAGGGUCUCCCAGCACCAGGCAGGUUCCCAGAGCCCGCUGGGUCCCCCAGCCUCGUUGUGUCCCCCCAGUCUGUCAUUCACUGCACACCCCGGACCCUGACCCUGCAGGGUCCUUCGAGCACCACAACCCUCAGGGUGCUCUCCCACCAAAUCCCUCAGGGCACCCCAAGGUCCCCAGACCCUGCUGGGGCCCCUGGGCUGCCCUAAUACCACAAGGUCCCGUAUGGAACCCCAAAUACCCCAAAGUCUCCCCACAUCAGACCCCUCGGGCCACUGCUGGGAUCCCCAGACCCUGCUGGGUACCCCCACCCCAUAGAGUCCCCAGGACCCUGCAGGAUAUCCCUGGCAUCCUCAAGGAUGCUUAAGACCUUCCAGCCCAGAGGGUCCCAUCUCUGGGACCCCCAAAUCCAUUGGGUGCCAGCCCAUUGGAUUCCCCAGACCCUGCUGGAUCUCACCACUCCUGGAAGGGUCCCCUGGACCCUUCACAGAAUUCAACUGUAACCCUCAAACCCAGCAGUUCCAAACCCACCAGACUCCUCUAAAGGACCCCAGACCCCAUUGGCUUACCCCACACCAGGCGGUCCCCCAGAUCCUGCAGGGUCCCCGAGGCCCCUCACACCCACCAAGGUGCCCCCGACCCCAGGACUCCAAACCCACCAGGUCCCAUCCCACCAGAGUCCCCAGGACUCCCUGAACGACCCCAGGCCCUACGGGACCCCACCCCCCCAGCACUGGGUCCCACAGUUCCCUCAGUGAGCCCAACGAGGUGUCCCUCCACUUUCAGAGCCCCCAAACCCCCUGGCUCCCCACGGACCAAACCCCCUCAAGUACCCCAGACCCCUCCAGCUCCCCAAACCUCCCGUGUCCCCACCAUUUACCCUUCCCAAAACCCUCUGAAGGACCGGGUCCCCCCCACCACGGUGUCCCCCAGAUCCUGCAGGGUCCCCCAGACCCACCAAGACUUUCAGAAGCCCCCGGCUCCCCACCCCCCGACC